Molecule: transfer RNA, 73 nt
Filed under: Kitasatospora gansuensis
Lineage: Bacteria; Bacillati; Actinomycetota; Actinomycetes; Kitasatosporales; Streptomycetaceae
Also listed under: 1 other name
Description: tRNA-Arg
Rfam family: tRNA
About the family: Transfer RNA (tRNA) molecules are approximately 80 nucleotides in length. Their secondary structure includes four short double-helical elements and three loops (D, anti-codon, and T loops). Further hydrogen bonds mediate the characteristic L-shaped molecular structure. tRNAs have two regions of fundamental functional importance: the anti-codon, which is responsible for specific mRNA codon recognition, and the 3' end, to which the tRNAs corresponding amino acid is attached (by aminoacyl-tRNA synthetases). tRNAs cope with the degeneracy of the genetic code in two manners: having more than one tRNA (with a specific anti-codon) for a particular amino acid; and 'wobble' base-pairing, i.e. permitting non-standard base-pairing at the 3rd anti-codon position.
Source: RNAcentral
GCCUCAUUAGCUCAGGGGAUAGAGCACAGCUCUCCUAAAGCUGGUGUCGCAGGUUCGAAUCCUGCAUGGGGCA